Molecule: ribosomal RNA, 442 nt
Filed under: uncultured bacterium
Lineage: Bacteria
Description: SSU rRNA
Rfam family: Bacterial small subunit ribosomal RNA
Source: RNAcentral
AGAGUUUGAUCCUGGCUCAGAUUGAACGCUAGCGGGAUGCCUUACACAUGCAAGUCGAACGGCAGCACGGACUUCGGUCUGGUGGCGAGUGGCGAACGGGUGAGUAAUGUAUCGGAACGUGCCCAGUAGCGGGGGAUAACUACGCGAAAGCGUGGCUAAUACCGCAUACGCCCCACGGGGGAAAGCAGGGGAUCGCAAGACCUUGCACUAUUGGAGCGGCCGAUAUCGGAUUAGCUAGUUGGUGGGGUAACGGCUCACCAAGGCGACGAUCCGUAGCUGGUUUGAGAGGACGACCAGCCACACUGGGACUGAGACACGGCCCAGACUCCUACGGGAGGCAGCAGUGGGGAAUUUUGGACAAUGGGCGCAAGCCUGAUCCAGCCAUGCCGCGUGCAGGAUGAAGGCCUUCGGGUUGUAAACUGCUUUUGUACGGAACGAAAAA